Molecule: ribosomal RNA, 153 nt
Filed under: Eubacterium callanderi
Lineage: Bacteria; Bacillati; Bacillota; Clostridia; Eubacteriales; Eubacteriaceae
Description: 23S rRNA. Bacterial LSU
Rfam family: Bacterial large subunit ribosomal RNA
Source: RNAcentral
UGAAGGCAUCUAAGCACGAAGCCCCCCUUAAGAUAAGAUAUCUCAUUCGAAAGAAGUAAGGCCUCUGGAAGACGACCAGGUAGAUAGGCUGGAGGUGGAAGUGCAGCAAUGUAUGGAGCUGACCAGUACUAAUCGGCCGAGGUCUUGAUCUAA